AUCAGGUUGAAACACCUGUCCCCGUAUAGUCACCGAAGUUAAGCACCGUCGUCCCUGGUCAGUACCUAGAUGGGUGACCGCUUGGAAGACAAAGUGCUGUAAG
Acanthosepion pharaonis is the source of this 103-nucleotide non-coding RNA. The record is from the annotation of a GenBank genome assembly. NCBI's taxonomy places the organism in Eukaryota, Metazoa, Mollusca, Cephalopoda, Sepiida, Sepiidae.